Molecule: ribosomal RNA, 601 nt
Filed under: uncultured bacterium
Lineage: Bacteria
Description: bacterial SSU rRNA
Rfam family: Bacterial small subunit ribosomal RNA
Source: RNAcentral
UGUAGUGUUACUGACGCUAAAGCUCGAAAGUGCGGGUAUCGAACAGGAUUAGAUACCCUGGUAGUCCGCACGGUAAACGAUGGAUGCCCGCUGUUUGCCCUUCGGGGUGAGUGGCUAAGCGAAAGCGUUAAGCAUCCCACCUGGGGAGUACGCCGGCAACGGUGAAACUCAAAGGAAUUGACGGGGGCCCGCACAAGCGGAGGAACAUGUGGUUUAAUUCGAUGAUACGCGAGGAACCUUACCCGGGCUUGAAUUGCAGAUGACGGAUCUAGAGAUAGUGACUUCCUUCGGGACAUCUGUGAAGGUGCUGCAUGGUUGUCGUCAGCUCGUGCCGUGAGGUGUCGGCUUAAGUGCCAUAACGAGCGCAACCCUUCUCUUCAGUUGCCAUCAGGUCAAGCUGGGCACUCUGGAGACACUGCCACCGUAAGGUGUGAGGAAGGUGGGGAUGACGUCAAAUCAGCACGGCCUUUACGUCCGGGGCUACACACGUGUUACAAUGGCCGGUACAGAAAGUCGGAUGCCCGUAAGGUCAUUCUAAUCAAGAAAGCCGGUCCCAGUUCGGACUGAGGUCUGCAACCCGACCUCACGAAGCUGGAUUCGC